AUGUGAGUGUGCGGGGUGGGGGUGUGGGAGCUGGGGUACUUAAUAGUCUGUGGAACAUGUUAUUAAGCAUUACUGGAAAGAGGGCCGACCAUGUGCAGCCGAUCUGUGACCUAGACCGUGUCCCACCGCUAAGUGUUACGACCUUGGGCAAGUCAGCUUCCUAUUCUGAACCUCAGUGUUCUCAUCUAUAAAAUGAAUUAAUUGGACAAAAUGAUCUUUACUGUCUCUUCUAGAUGGAAAAGCUCAACGAUUCUCAUAAACCCCAUCACAGGCCAUUGAAAGCAUGAACGAUUUCUUCAGUCCUCUGAUUAGCCAGGUAUUCAGAAUAUGUUUCACUCACCUGGAGAGUUGCAUCGUCUUGACAAACACAAGGCAAUUAAGAGACUUCCAGCUGCUCCUGCUGCUACUGUGUAUUCAGGGGGAGGGAGAAAUGAUGGCUGGCCUCUCCAAAGUGCCUUUGCUGCAUUCGUCUGGUUUUCAUGACUCUAAUGUCCCAACUGACUGUGUCUAAGAAGCAAAAGACGUGACUUAGAAAGCUUUCCGUAUUCCUACACCAAGAAAGGUUACAGAAUUUGCCAAGUUCUGAGCUUGACACGGCCUUCUUUUCCUGACAAUCAGGUUGGCAUUUUAGAAGGAAGAUGAAAUGGCUUCAGGAAAUGAUGUGAAAGGUUAAGAAGAUGGAUGAGAAAUAUAAGUCAAGAGCUGUCACGAAGGAAAAUGCGGCCUCACAGUGCUGUGUUCAAUGUAUUUCUUAGAAAAACUAGACUCCAGGGAUUCCGCCCACUCCUGAACAGAUUCACCUGACAUAUGAAGAAGCAGGAAAACAUAACCUAUACCAGGAGAAAAACCAACCUCAAGAACUGGCAAAUGAAUCAUCUGUCAUUGGAAAAACAGUGCAUGAACUUGGAACCAGAAGGCACUGAUUAUCAGCUCUGCGACCUCAGGCAAGUCACUUCACUGGACCUCAAUUUUUUCAUGUGUAAGCCAGGGAACAUAAUAACUAACAAAAGGAAUGUAACUAGAACUGGUUUGUAAACUGAAAAGUAAUAUGUACAAACUUGAAGGGAUUUUCAUGUUUUUUUAGAAGGACCAUUUUAUUGAAAAAUAAAAUUGAUAUUAUACUAGUUGAAAAUUUAAGCAGCAUGAUUGAUCAUUCACUUUGUUUCUUGUAACUGAUGUUGUACACAAUGCCUUUUCACUUCUGAAUAAGAAUUUUGAUAUAAAGAUUUCUUUUCUUUGGGGGUAAAGUUUAAAGAUACCAUAUAGGAUCCUCAAACUACUGGCCCUUGCCCUGCUGAUACAGGGUACCGGCAACAGACGCUGAUACAAGACAAAAAGAAGCCUUUAGAACAUGUGCCGUGACAGUAUGCAUCAAAACCAUAAGAAUUUAUACCUAGCAAUUCCACUUCUAAGACUUCAUUGUAUAAAUAAGUAUUUAUUCAGCUAGCAUCCCUUUUUAAUAAUGGAAAAUU
Molecule: RNA transcript, 1472 nt
Organism: Sus scrofa (pig)
Lineage: Eukaryota; Metazoa; Chordata; Mammalia; Artiodactyla; Suidae
Source: RefSeq, a predicted model, not a curated record